Molecule: ribosomal RNA, 393 nt
Filed under: salal root associated fungus UBCtra1542.6
Lineage: Eukaryota; Fungi; Ascomycota
Description: eukaryotic LSU rRNA
Rfam family: Eukaryotic large subunit ribosomal RNA
Source: RNAcentral
CUAGAGAAGUGUUUUCCGUGUCGGACCGUGCACAAGUUCCCUGGAACGGGGCGUCAUAGAGGGUGAGAAUCCCGUAUAUGGCAUGGACUACCGAUGCUUUUGUGAUACACUCUCAACGAGUCGAGUUGUUUGGGAAUGCAGCUCAAAAUGGGUGGUAAAUUCCAUCUAAAGCUAAAUAUUGGCGAGAGACCGAUAGCGAACAAGUCCCGUGAGGGAAAGAUGAAAAGCACUUUGGAAAGAGAGUGAAACAGUACGUGAAAUUGUUGRAAGGGAAGCGUUUGAAGUCAGUCGUAUCUGGUGGGAUUCAGCCGGGCUUUUGCCAGGUGUACUUCUCGUCCGAUGGGUCAGCAUCAAUUUCGACCGGGGGAAAAAGGCUUGGGGAAUGUGGCUGUC